Molecule: ribosomal RNA, 253 nt
Filed under: uncultured bacterium
Lineage: Bacteria
Description: partial 16S ribosomal RNA
Rfam family: Bacterial small subunit ribosomal RNA
Source: RNAcentral
UACGAGUUGUGCAAACGUUAUUCGGAAUCACUGGGCUUAAAGGGUGCGUAGGCGGCUACGAAAGUCAGGUGUGAAAUCCCUCGGCUCAACCGAGGAACUGCGCUUGAAACUGUGUAGCUUGAGGAAGACAGAGGUGAGCGGAACUGAUGGUGGAGCGGUGAAAUGCGUUGAUAUCAUCAGGAACACCGGUGGCGAAAGCGGCUCACUGGGUCUUAUCUGACGCUGAGGCACGAAAGCCAGGGGAGCAAACGGG